ACAGAACCUGGGACUUCAAAAAACGAAUGGUAACCGGUUACAUGAAUAGGGUAACCGUCACAUGCUGGAAAAUUUCAAAAAUACUGAAACUGGACAAAAUGUAGAAAAAUAAUAAAAAAAAAAUUGUACACAAAAAAUAAUAUAUAAAUUAUGUAUGCAUGUCAUAAUAAAAUUAAUAAAGGAAUACGAAAUGAUUUUAC
This 200-nucleotide long non-coding RNA is filed under the name Lathyrus oleraceus (garden pea). RNAcentral describes it as "Pisum sativum (pea) long non-coding RNA (PSAT_LNC034462)". The record is from RNAcentral. Lineage: Eukaryota; Viridiplantae; Streptophyta; Magnoliopsida; Fabales; Fabaceae.